Molecule: long non-coding RNA, 592 nt
Filed under: Monodelphis domestica (gray short-tailed opossum)
Lineage: Eukaryota; Metazoa; Chordata; Mammalia; Didelphimorphia; Didelphidae
Description: lncRNA (ENSMODG00000047534.1)
Source: RNAcentral
AAACUGUUUCCCUAAGGUACUGAGACCAUCAGCCAGUGAUCCAUCUGCCAGAAAUCCUCUUGGCCAAGGUAAUCCAAGGCUUGUCACCUGGGACUUUGGAAUAUAUAGCGCAGUCAACCCCAGACUUCAGGUCUUUUAAUAUUUAUGGGGAUAACUUGAGAUGCCUUUCUGUCACUCAUUGUCUAUGAUACAUGAUUGGUCCAUUAACUUUUCAAACAGAAUGAUAUCAUCUAUGCUGUUCCUGGAAAUCAAAGGAAGCUAUCACAGUCACUCUUUUUCUCUUGAGGAAAAGAAGAUUCUAGUCACAAGCUGAGGAUGGGUCCUGGUCCCAAUGGAAAAGACUUGAUGUUGAGAAAGAUUAAAGGCAAAAAGAAAAUGACAAAGGAAGAGAUAGAAACCCUUCAAAAUGUUCUUAUAUAUAGCCUGUUUGGGUAUCUUCAACAUGCAUUUAGUUAGACCUAAAUUCUCUCAGUGAUUUAACCUUCUUAUAAAGCCUUGCUACUUUUUUCACAUGGUAACUUAGAGUCAAAAUGGUGAUUUCAUUGUCAUUGCUAAUUAAACUGUAAUAAUAAAGACUGUCUAUCUGUUCCCA